This is a long non-coding RNA of Herpailurus yagouaroundi (jaguarundi), 3432 nucleotides long. RefSeq lists it as uncharacterized. Lineage: Eukaryota; Metazoa; Chordata; Mammalia; Carnivora; Felidae. The record is from RefSeq and is a predicted model, not a curated record. The transcript has 5 exons.
GGGGGACAUGGCAUCUAAGCUGAGCUUGGAAGAAACCCAGGCCAAGUAGCGAGACAAGGGGGAGGAGAUACCCAGGCCAGGAAAUCCCGUGUCCAAAGGUGUGAGGGAGGAGCUGUGCCUGGAAGAUAACAUUCAAGGCGUGUAAUGAAAAACCGGGUAAGGAUGAAGAGAGAAGCAGGGCCAGAUCACAUCAGGUAAGGCCUUGCUGCCUCUCCUCAGAACUUGGGCACAGCUUACCCAAGGGCAACUGAAACAUCUUUGAAUCAUUUUAAACAGAAAGUGCUGUGAACAGAACUGCGUUUUGUGUCCAUGUCUCUGGCAGGAAUGUGGAGAUUACCUGGCUACAGUCUAUCCUGGAAGCAAAGGACCAGUUAGGGACAGUGCAGGAGGGAUAGGAGCGGCUCCAUUCAACAGUGCUGCCUUGAUUGAUAAAUCUUCUGGGAGCCGAGCUCCAAUACCUAGUCAGUUGCAUCGGGAGGACGAAGUCUAUUUCUGAUGGUGGUGCGUGAAAGGCUUCCGCUCUUCUAAAGGAGUGUGAUACCAACAGGUCUGGUGGGACCUUGGGAUAUGACGUGUGGUCAGAGUAACCUAACCAAGUCAUAUUCUGGGCCUGCCCAGCCCGGCUGGAUGAAGUGUGACUCAUCCGAAUGCCUUGGAGAGAGAAGUGACAGGUGGAUCCUUGGAAGGACCCUGAGAGGAGUGCACAGUGGGACCCUGGCUCCACAUUUUCACACGGGGACUGGGCUUUCAGGGAAGUCCCUAUUGAGAAGGCACGCUGCAAAUACAUCUGCCCAUAUGGUUACAACAGCCAGGGACCGGGUCGAGUUUAUGAAGAGGAUACAGAGAAAAUGAGAAAGGAAAAGCUGACAGCACUAGAGUAUGAAGAAGGAAGGACGUACAAGAAGGGAAGGAAAUUAGAUGGGAGACCCCACAGCAGAAAUGUCUGAAUGCCACCACGCCCAGCUCCGGGCCCAGCAGCCAUCUCUCUCUCAUGGGCAAAUUCAUGUAACCAAUGUUAGUGACUUCCUGUUAAGUUCUAGACCCAGAGGACACAAGGAUGAACAAAAUGGACAUCACUGCUACUCAACCACAGUUCACUCUGGCGGGGAAACAGAAAUAGAGGCAGGCCAAUGAGGCUCACAAGGAGGACAUCAGGCCCUUAGGAUGCAACUGUACCGACAGACAUAUCGAGGCCACCCCACCAGCACAGCAGAGUCGGUGGCCUUCUGGUUUGUAGCCCAUCUAUAGGGGACCCAGCCUGAGGAAAAUGCCCCUCCAAACUUUUCUCACCCCAAACCUGGGCCCUGGCUUUGGGCCACAAUCCCUAAAACCUAGCGUUGGGCUCCCGCCCUAACUCACCUCAUUCCUCCCUUGGCUUCUCCCUACACUGACCAUCUCUCAGGAUAUGGGCCUUUUCAUCCUUUCCCUGCCUCUUCCUUGCCCACCCAGAAUCUUUGGGAGUGGCAAGAGCAAGAGAAGAAGCCAACGGCUGUCAUUUGCCAUGGGUUUGUGAAAGGCUAUGUCCUCCAGUCUUGCUGACAGACAAAGGAAGGAGGUAGGUCCAAGAGAACUCUACAUGGGCGAGGUCGAGGGGCAUCUGGCCAAAGAUAAGCAGAGGCCGAGCGUCCGCUCUCCCCUACUCCUCUCUUAAUGGCACUGCGCUCGCUUGUGGCACUAGGAGGGCUGACCCUCCGGGCAUACUACAAGGAAGACAACUCAGCUACGGAAGAAAGUGGCAGCUGGUGAGUCUUUAGCUCCCAGGUAGGCAUCUGGCUUUAAGUCUGCUCAGAGAACCCGAGACGUCUGUGGUUGCUGGCCUCCCCCACAGCCUCUGGAGAGGUCAGCUAUCACAGCUCUGGAGUCGACUGUUGAGAUAACCCCCAUUUUUUCCAUUCCUCACCUACUUUUAUGAGUAAGACUUUCUUCCCAAUGUCUCCGCCCUAAAUCCCUCCCGCUCUUAUCUCCUUCUACAAUUAAAGGCAAAGAACGGGAGUCAGCGUAAGGGCACAGCUUCUGGACACUCUGCAGCACACAGAGGUCAAGAGCCUGAAGGCGUUAACCGUUCACGCUGGAAAGCUGAGGACGCGGCCUGUCGAGUAGGACUUCGGGGGGACAGAAGGAAAGCCAGGGUGGGGGGAAGCCUCACCAGAGGCCCUGGGGCUCCAGGAAAGCCGAGGGAUGCGUGUCAGUGAACACAUCUCCCAACAGCCCGUAGGCGCGUGGACAGGCCACGCGAAUGCGCUUCCGGGUGAAAGUGGCAGUCUCCACGAUGGGCGCUCCCUGGCCCAGCCCUGCCAGUGCUUGACAUGGAGCCCCUCUCCGUAGCCCAGCACCCCCCUCGCUUCUCUGACUCUUGCCUCCCCUUCUCCCACCAGGGCUCUGCAUGGCGAGCCAUCUUUUGGCCCUUCUGGUUGCCUCGGCAAGUUGCAGACACCGUCUCCCAGAGCUCCGGGCCUCUGCACGGCCUCCACGUGCACGUGGCUGCAAUGCCCCUUCUCUUAGCUCUCUCCUGCUCAUCCAGCGCCAGACGCCAACUCCUCCAUCAAAUGAGCCUCCGUGAUGCUCAGAGGCUGGGCCGCCCCUUCUCCUCUGCCCCCCAACCCCAGGGUCGUCUCCCUCCCUAAUCCCCACCCCCAGACUCAGCAAAGGCGGGGGGGGGGGGGGGGGCCGGCUCCACAAGCCAAAAGGGGUGGGGGAGAGGGAGCAGGGAGGGGAGGCUGGGAACGCAGAGCCCCGGCCCCCUCCACAUCCGCUGCUGCAAUCACAGCCCACCCCCAGCUGACAAAAGGCCUUGUCAGAGCCAAGGGGUCUGGUGCCAGCCCCGCCCCUUGGAGCAGCGACAGCCGUGUGCUACAUUUGCCCAAUUCUGCAGCUGGGCUAAUUACUGUGGUUCCCGAGCUUGGGGUCCAGCCCCAAACCAAACAAAUUAGGACAAAAACCAUAGGCUUCUUCAUCCCUCUCAUUCCCAGCCAGCAAUUGCUGAAGGACCCCUAUAAUUGAUGACAAUGAAAUAAAACCCCACCACCUGUCCUUACUCCUAAGGACUUGGGAGCCCGGCCAAUACCUCGGCCCACCCCUCCGUGGCCACAGCAACGUGGAGUUGCGCAAUGCUGCAUUCCCAGUGCCAGCAUCACCCCGGGAACAACCUGGGGCCCGUCCCGGCCCACGACAUGAUCCAGCCCGGAAGAAUAACGCAGCUGGCGGGCGGGCUAAGAGCACCUACAGCAUGCCAGACACUUUUCAGAUGGCUGGGAAACGGGCAGAUGCCAACAACCGAACACUUGCCCUCAGGAAACUUGCAUUCGAGUGGAGAGAUAAACAAUAAGCAUACUAAACUCGUUCUGACUGCUAUAGAAGUCCAUCCGGAGGCUGUCGCCAUAACACCAGUCAUGAUCUCAUGGUUUGCGAGUUCGAGCUCCGCAUCAAGCUGUC